This 253-nucleotide ribosomal RNA is filed under the name uncultured bacterium. RNAcentral's name for it is "partial 16S ribosomal RNA". It matches the Rfam family "Bacterial small subunit ribosomal RNA", at positions 524 to 776 of the family's 1533-position model. The record is from RNAcentral.
GACAUAGGUGGCAAACGUUAUCCGGAAUUAUUGGGCGUAAAGAGCUCGUAGGCGGUUUGUCGCGUCUGCUGUGAAAACCUGAGGCUCAACCUCGGGCUUGCAGUGGGUACGGGCAGACUAGAGUGCGGUAGGGGUGACUGGAAUUCCUGGUGUAGCGGUGGAAUGCGCAGAUAUCAGGAGGAACACCGAUGGCGAAGGCAGGUCACUGGGCCGCAACUGACGCUGAGGAGCGAAAGCAUGGGGAGCGAACAGG